CCUACGGGGGGCAGCAGUCGAGAAUCAUUCACAAUGGGGGAAACCCUGAUGGUGCGACGCCGCGUGGGGGAAUGAAGGUCUUCGGAUUGUAAACCCCUGUCAUGUGGGAGCAAAUUAAAAAGAUAGUACCACAAGAGGAAGAGACGGCUAACUCUGGGCCAGCAGCCGCGGUAAUACAGAGGUCUCAAGCGUUGUUCGGAAUCACUGGGCGUAAAGCGUGCGUAGGCUGUUUCAUAAGUCGUGUGUGAAAGGCGCGGGCUCAACCGGCGGACGGCACAUGAUACUGCGAGACGAGGGUAAUGGAGGGGUGAGCGGAAUUCGAGGUGUAGCGGUGGAAUGCGUAGAUAUCGGGAGGAACACUCGUGGGGAAGGGGGGUUCCUGGACAUUAACUGACGCUGAGGCACGAAGGCAAGGGGAGCGAAAGGGAUUAGAUACCCUAGUAGUC
Molecule: ribosomal RNA, 446 nt
Filed under: uncultured bacterium
Lineage: Bacteria
Description: partial 16S ribosomal RNA
Rfam family: Bacterial small subunit ribosomal RNA
Source: RNAcentral